RNAcentral lists this ribosomal RNA (253 nucleotides) under uncultured bacterium. RNAcentral's name for it is "partial 16S ribosomal RNA". It matches the Rfam family "Bacterial small subunit ribosomal RNA", at positions 524 to 776 of the family's 1533-position model. The record is from RNAcentral.
UACGUAGGGGGCGAGCGUUGUCCGGAUUUAUUGGGCGUAAAGCGCAUGCAGGCGGUCCUGUAAGUUUGGAGUGACAGUUUCCGGCUCAACCGGGAAAGUGCUUUGAAAACUGCAGGACUUGAGGGCUUCAGAGGGACACGGAAUUCCGGGUGGAGUGGUGAAAUGCGUAGAUAUCCGGAGGAACACCGAAGGCGAAGGCAGUGUCCUGGGGAGCACCUGACGCUCAGAUGCGAAAGCCAGGGGAGCGAACGGG